UGUCAAGGGAUGGGAAUCGAACCCACGACCUUCAGCUUACCGGGCAGAUGCCAUGACCACUAGGCUACCCUGGAC
This 75-nucleotide transfer RNA is filed under the name Cordylochernes scorpioides. RNAcentral describes it as "tRNA-Thr". The record is from RNAcentral. Lineage: Eukaryota; Metazoa; Arthropoda; Arachnida; Pseudoscorpiones; Chernetidae.